AAAUUAAACAAGCAUGAAGUGCUACGCUAAUUAAGUUUUAUUUAUUAUAAAUAGAUUAAGUUAAAAGUCGAACGGGUGAUUACACCUGCAGCGGUGCAGCUAUGGAUUCCUACCGAUCUAAAGGGUAAUCGCCUUGCCCACUAUGCUUAAUGCUGGUAUAGACUUGUCGCCGACAUGCUUCACGACGGAACAGUAAUUAAACUUAGUCUGACCUUGUUUUCGGAGCUAUUUAACUGGUGCAAAUACGGCAGUGCAAAAAGGUGGUCCAAGCCGGGGUUUCUCCACGCGACGCUACCAGAUGGGCUCGUUAGGUGGAAAAUAAGAGAAAAUAGGGAAGCAGCCUAUGGAUUAAUGGGUCUUAAUAAAAAAGUGAUCGGAGAUUGUACUCACCAGUGGUAUAAAGUUUAUUUUAAAACAAAUACUCAGCUCAAAAACUGACCACCAGCCUCGCCCUAUUUCAAAAUGUCUCUAUCUUGACCCCUUGGUCAAGAAUGUUAGAUAAAAGAUAAAUUUUAAAAUUGCAUUCAUAUUCAUAUGCUGACCUCUAUUAAAUUACUUUUGCAGUAUUUAUAAAACCUGUAACUGCUUAUAGAAAACGUUACACAUGUCCCUCUUGUACAUCACCAAAAAUUUCAUUCUCACAACCUGUAUCUGGUGGCCUAUAAAAGUGGAUACAAACCGCGUGAAUAUGUUUACAAAUAUUAAAGUUUAUAACAUUGUCCAAACAACUAAAUCUAAACGAGUAUUUACAUUCACCGCUAUUGUGUUCUAAAACAUAGUCAUGACUGGAAUGGAUUCUUGUGAAGGCACCACUAACCAUUUAUCAUCACACUGUUUUAACAAUUCCAAAGGAAUGCAACUUCCACGAUUAUGGCCGUCUCUAAUUCGCUUUAUUUUAUUAGUCACUUUAUACUUUGAAAAUUUAAUAAUCCGCUCAAACAUUUUGUCCCUAACAAGGUUUAUUAAAGCAUUAAUGGUCUUAUCCAGCCGUUUGCAUUUUUUCCCUUCUAGAUAGAUAUGUUUAGAUAUGAUUGGACCUUAAGUUAUUUAAUCAAAUAUUGCUACAUAAGAAUUUAAAAAUAUUGUUACCAGCUAGUUUAUUUCUAUCCUCUUCAUCGAGUAGUAAUCCACCAACUUCACAAGUGUGUCCAACGUCAGGAUAAAAAAUGGUGAAAACCCUUUCAUUUCUAAUUGUUACAAUAAGCCUUGAAGGGCAUGCACCUCCUAUUUUAUUAGUACCACUUCCUUUUGACUUCACUUUUA
Photinus pyralis (common eastern firefly) is the source of this 1263-nucleotide long non-coding RNA. RefSeq lists it as uncharacterized. The transcript is spliced from 4 exons. The record is from RefSeq and is a predicted model, not a curated record. NCBI's taxonomy places the organism in Eukaryota, Metazoa, Arthropoda, Insecta, Coleoptera, Lampyridae.